AAAUGAAUAGACGGGGGCCCGCACAAGCAGUGGAGUAUGUGGUUUAAUUCGACGCAACGCGAAGAACCUUACCAGGGCUUGACAUCGUGCGCAUAGUGCAGAGAUGCAUGAAGUCUUCGGACGCACAGACAGGUGGUGCAUGGUUGUCGUCAGCUCGUGUCGUGAGAUGUUGGGUUAAGUCCCGCAACGAGCGCAACCCUUAUCGUUAGUUGCCAGCACGUAAUGGUGGGCACUCUAGCGAGACUGCCGGCGACAAGUCGGAGGAAGGUGGGGAUGACGUCAAAUCAUCAUGCCCCUUAUGUCCUGGGCUACACACGUACUACAAUGGCUGCCAACAAAGGGAAGCGAGACCGCGAGGUGGAGCAAAUCCCCAAAAGCAGUCCCAGUUCGGAUUGCAGGCUGAAACCCGCCUGCAUGAAGUCGGAAUUGCUAGUAAUCGCAGAUCAGCAUGCUGCGGUGAAUACGUUCCCGGGCCUUGUACACACCGCCCGU
This 492-nucleotide ribosomal RNA is filed under the name uncultured bacterium. RNAcentral's name for it is "bacterial SSU rRNA". It matches the Rfam family "Bacterial small subunit ribosomal RNA", at positions 903 to 1397 of the family's 1533-position model. The record is from RNAcentral.